UAGGUAUAGAAGGAGAUUCUUUCAGUCUAAUCAUGGAUAGAAAAAGAAGAGGGUCGAAAUAUCUGCCGACUCAUCCAUCCAAACACUCGGGGUAGAGAAACGAUUAAUUUUAAACCGCGGUGACUGUGUGAAUGAUUCGGGAGAUAUUUUUCAUCCUCUUUAUCUGUGUUUGGACUGAAGGGAGCUCCUUCUUUAUCUACA
Molecule: microRNA precursor, 201 nt
Organism: Arabis alpina (gray rockcress)
Lineage: Eukaryota; Viridiplantae; Streptophyta; Magnoliopsida; Brassicales; Brassicaceae
Rfam family: MIR159 microRNA precursor family
Source: Rfam